Molecule: ribosomal RNA, 3001 nt
Filed under: Zea mays subsp. mays (maize)
Lineage: Eukaryota; Viridiplantae; Streptophyta; Magnoliopsida; Poales; Poaceae
Description: bacterial LSU rRNA
Rfam family: Bacterial large subunit ribosomal RNA (bases 5-2308)
Source: RNAcentral
UUAAGGGCAAAUGGUGGAUGCCUUGGGACCAAAAGCGAUGAAGGACGUGGUGUAGCUGCGAUAAGCCUCGGGGAGAUGUUAGCAAUCUUUGAUCCGGGGAUCUCCUAAUGGGGAAACCUGACUUUGCAAAACAAAGUCGUCGUAACAGAAGCAAACCCGCUGAAGUGAAACAUCUUAGUAGGCGGAGGAAAAAGAUAACAACAGUUAUUCCCUUAGUAGCGGCGAGCGAAGGGGGAGGAGCCCAAACUCAUUUGUGCUUUUGCAUAAAUGAGGGUUGUAGGGAAACGGCGUCUAUUAAAUUAGAGGAAGUAAAAAAUAUGGCUUAAUUAGCCGAAUCUUUCUGGAAAGAGGAACCAUAGACGGUGAAAGUCCGGUAAGCGAAAAUUAAGUCAUGCUUCUUGCUGUUUUACCUGAGUACCAUCGGACACAAGACGAGCCGGUGGGAAUCUGGCGGGACUACCCGCUAAGGCUAAAUAUAAUUUGGUCACCGAUAGUGAACAAGUACCGUGAGGGAAAGGUGAAAAGCAGCCCGGUGAGGGCGGUGAAAUAGAACCUGAAACCAUUAUGCCCACAAAGAGUCAGAGCUGAAUUUAUUCAGUGAUGGCGUGCUUUUUGCAGAACGAGCCAACGAGUUUCUUUUACUAAUUUGUCUAAGCGCUUAUGGCGUGGAGGCACAGGGAAACCGAGUCUUAAAAGGGCGAAUUUAAUUAGUAGAGGAAGACCCGAAGCCAGACGAGCUUGCCAUGGCCAGGAUGAAGCUCCUAGAAAUAGGAGUGGAGGUCCGAACCCGUAGACCGUACAAAAUCUUGGGAUGAGCUGUGGCAAGGAGUGAAAAGCUAAUCGAGUUUGGUAAUAGCUGGUUCUUCCCGAAAUAGUUNUGGCGUGGAGGCACAGGGAAACCGAGUCUUAAAAGGGCGAAAUAUAAAUUAGUGGAGGAAGACCCGAAGCCAGACGAGCUUACCAUGACCAGGAUGAAGCUUUCAGAAAUGAAAGUGGAGGUCCGAACCCGUUGACCGUACAAAAUCUUGGGAUGAGUUGUGGUAAGGAGUGAAAAGCUAAUCGAGUUUGGUAAUAGCUGNUGGUAAUAGCUGGUUCUUCCCGAAAUAGUUUUAGGACUAGCCUCUUUGAUAUUCAUCUUCGGAGGUAGAGCACUGGAAGAAAUACCGUGGCUUCGGCUAGGUAUUUUUACCAAACUCCGAAUGCCGAAGAUAUUACAGGGGGAGUCAGACUACGGGGGCGAAGCUCCGUAGUCGCGAGGGGAACAACCCAGACCAUCAUCUAAGGUCCCUAAAUUUAGGCUAAGUGUCAGUAAGGAGGUGGAAUUUCUCAGAUAGCUAGGAGGUUAGCUUAGAAGCAGCUACNCCUUUAAAAAGUGCGUAACAGCUUACUAGCUAAGAGAUUUUGCGCCGAAGAUUUCCGGGACUAAAGCCUAGUACCGAAGAUAUGGCUGAAUACGUUUUUCGUAUUCGGGGUAGGGAAGCGUCUUUAUUGCGCUGAAGCUGAACCGUGAGGUUCGGUGGAGCGAUAAGGAGUGAGAAUGUUGGCAUGAGUAACCACAAUUGCAGUGAGAGUCUGCAACACCGUAAACCCAAGGUUUCCUUGGCAAUGGAGAUCAUCCAAGNNNNNNNNNNNNNNNNNNNNNNNNNNNNNNNNNNNNNNNNNNNNNNNNNNNNNNNGCCGAAAGGCGUAUCUGAUGGACAGCCGGUUAAUAUUCCGGCCCUCCAAUAUUUUUCCGUAGGGUGACGCAAUUUAGUAGUUUGGGCGGGUUAUUGGAUUCCCGUCGACUGCCUGAGGGGCAACCCAAGGGUAGGCGUGAAGCUUGUCGCAAGACAAGUGAAAUCAAAUGAGCAAGUUGCCCAGAAAAACCCGCAGGGUUAAAAAUAUUGGAUCCGUACCGUAAACCGACACAGGUGGGUGGGCACAAGUGUGCCAAGGUGAACAAGUGAAAGGUCCUGAAGGAACUCGGCAAAAAAGUGGUCGUAACUUCGGGAUAAGACCUCCCUUUUGAGUUUAUUGCUUUUGCAGUUUAUAUAAAAAGGGCGCAGCGAGCGUAUCUCUAGCGACUGUUUAUCAAAAACACAGGUCCCUGCUCAACUCGCAAGAGGAAGUAUAGGGGCUGAGGCCUGACCAGUGCCAGAGUGUUAAAAGUGGUUGUUGUUUCAGCAAUGGGACAGCUGUCCGCUCCAAGCCUCUGGUGAACGUCCGCGGUAACUCUGACCGUGUUAAAGUAGAACAACGCACUGCUUUAGUAAAAUCUGGCUAUAUGCUGGAAAACCUGGUGCAUCCGGCGUUACUAUGGUAUAAUAUUGUUAAGGUUUGAUAACACCUUAUCAAAACAUUAUGCCAAGUAAAAAAACGUCCGGUGCAGGCAAUCAGCAGGAAAGGCUUAGAUUUAUCGGCUGGGUCAUUGGAUUCGUUGACGGAGAAGGAUGCUUUACGAUUAGUUUUUUUAAGCAUCCCAAGUCCCGUUUACGAUUAAAAUGGCAAGUAUUUCCAGAAUUUGUUAUUACUCAAGGAAUGAAAAGUAGGCCCGCACUUGAAAAGAUUAAAAACUUUUUCGGGUGCGGUAAAAUCUACCUGAAUAAAAGAUACGACAACCAUCACGAGCAUCUGCUGAAAUAUGUAGUUCGCGACCGUGAAGAUUUGUUAGAAAAGAUUAUUCCAUUUUUUGAGAAAAAUUGUUUGCGAACCGCAAAAAAAGAAGAUUUCUUCAUUUUUGCAAAGAUUGUCCGAAUGAUGGGCGAAGGUAAACACCUUAAAGAAAAAGGAUUGGAGAAAAUCCGAUCACUGGUUCUAAAGAUGAAUACCCGCAAAUACCGAUAAAUUAAGAAUCCUCAGAGACUAUACGCCAGACUCAUUUAAAGAAAACUGUUUAAAUGAGAAGAUAUAGUCCGAACUUCAUGGCGACAUGAAGAGUUCCACGAAAGUGGAUAUAACAUAUUGAGCGUAAUCCCUUGNUCGGGUAAGUUCCGACCCGCAUGAAAGGCUUAACGACUAGAGA